AAGUCGUAACAAGGUUUCUCAGCCUGCCGAAGCCUUGUACCUAGCAGUCCGCCUCCGGGCGGGCGACACUCGCCUGUUGCUGGAAAUCGCCUUCCUCCGCGGGAGGCCAACCAGCUGCUGCAUGCCCGUGCAGUCCACAGAUCAAACGCGGGUGGCCUGCGCCCCGGGGAAACCCCCCCCCCCCGGGUCGAUGGUUAAGAUAUGACCGUAGCUGCUCUGCGAAGAUGCUGACCACUAGUUCCGUAGGUGAACCUGCGGAAGGAUCAUUACCGAGAGAGGGACUUCGCGUCCCCCGGGGAUUGCUACGGCAUCCCAACUCUUCAACCCUGUGUCUACCAACCUUUGUUGCUUUGGCGAGCGCCGGGGCGCAAGUCUCGGCCCUGACCUCGGUCAGCGGGCCCUCGCCAGAGGCCCAUUACAAUUCUGUUUUCAGUGAAGUCCGAGCAUACAAACGAAUAAAUCAAAACUUUCAACAACGGAUCUCUUGGUUCUGGCAUCGAUGAAGAACGCAGCGAAAUGCGAUAAGUAAUGUGAAUUGCAGAAUUCAGUGAAUCAUCGAAUCUUUGAACGCACAUUGCGCCCCUUGGUAUUCCGAGGGGCAUGCCUGUUCGAGCGUCAUUGCAACCCUCAAGCUUUGCUUGNGUUGGGNNUCGCCUUGCCUCCGGGAGGGCGAGCCCGAAAAUCAGUGGCGGUCCAGGGAGACUUUCAAGCGCAGUAAAACUUUCCGCUUUCGAAGGCCUCGCCUGUGGCUUAGCCGUGAAACUCCCCAAAUUUUCAAUGAUUGACCUCGGAUCAGGUAGGGAUACCCGCUGAACUUAAGCAUAUCAAUAAGCGGAGGAAAAGAAACCAACAGGGAUUGCCUUAGUAACGGCGAGUGAAGCGGCAACAGCUCAAAUUUGAAAUCUGGCUCCUUCCGGGGUCCGAGUUGCAAUUUGUAGAGGAUGUUUCGGGCGGAGGGCCGGUCUAAGUCCCUUGGAACGGGGCGUCAUAGAGGGUGAGAAUCCCGUAUGUGACCGGUGACGAAGCCCAUGUGAAACUCCUUCGACGAGUCGAGUUGUUUGGGAAUGCAGCUCAAAAUGGGUGGUAAAUUUCAUCUAAAGCUAAAUACCGGCCAGAGACCGAUAGCGCACAAGUAGAGUGAUCGAAAGAUGAAAAGCACUUUGGAAAGAGAGUCAAAAAGUACGUGAAAUUGUUGAAAGGGAAGCGCUUGCAACCAGACCUGCCCGCGGGUGAUCAACCGUCCUUCUGGGCGGUGCACUCGCCCGUGAUCAGGCCAGCAUCGGUUCGGGCGGCCGGAUAAAGGCCUUGGGAACGUAGCUUCUUUCGGGGAGUGUUAUAGCCCUCGGUGCAAUGCGGCCAGCCUGGACCGAGGACCGCGCUUCGGCUAGGAUGCUGGCGUAAUGGUUGUAAGCGGCC
This 1416-nucleotide ribosomal RNA is filed under the name uncultured fungus. RNAcentral describes it as "eukaryotic LSU rRNA". The stretch from base 783 to 1416 matches the Rfam family "Eukaryotic large subunit ribosomal RNA", at positions 1 to 649 of the family's 3401-position model. The record is from RNAcentral. Lineage: Eukaryota; Fungi.